This 905-nucleotide ribosomal RNA is filed under the name Keissleriella camporesiana. RNAcentral describes it as "Keissleriella sp. CP-2019a partial large subunit ribosomal RNA". It matches the Rfam family "Eukaryotic large subunit ribosomal RNA", at positions 54 to 972 of the family's 3401-position model. The record is from RNAcentral. Lineage: Eukaryota; Fungi; Ascomycota; Dothideomycetes; Pleosporales; Lentitheciaceae.
GGAAAAGGAAACCAACAGGGAUUGCCCUAGUAACGGCGAGUGAAGCGGCAACAGCUCAAAUUUGAAAUCUGGCUCUCUUUCGGGGGUCCGAGUUGUAAUUUGCAGAGGGUGCUUUGGCGUCGGCAGCGGUCUAAGUUCCUUGGAACAGGACAUCACAGAGGGUGAGAAUCCCGUACGUGGUCGCCUGCCUUCGCCGUGUAAAGCCCCUUCGACGAGUCGAGUUGUUUGGGAAUGCAGCUCUAAAUGGGAGGUAAAUUUCUUCUAAAGCUAAAUACUGGCCAGAGACCGAUAGCGCACAAGUAGAGUGAUCGAAAGAUGAAAAGCACUUUGGAAAGAGAGUCAAACAGCACGUGAAAUUGUUGAAAGGGAAGCGCUUGCAGCCAGACUUGCUCGUAGUUGCUCACCCGGGUCCGCCCGGGGCACUCUUCUGCGAGCAGGCCAGCAUCAGUUUGGGCGACCGGAUAAAGGCCUCUGUCAUGUAUCUUCCUUCGGGAUGACCUUAUAGGGGAGGCGUAAUGCGGCCAGCCCGGACUGAGGUCCGCGCAUCUGCUAGGAUGCUGGCGUAAUGGCUGUAAGCGGCCCGUCUUGAAACACGGACCAAGGAGUCUAACAUCUAUGCGAGUGUUUGGGUGUCAAGCCCGGGCGCGUAAUGAAAGUGAACGGAGGUGGGAACCCUCUCCGGGGGGUGCACCAUCGACCGAUCCUGAUGUCUUCGGAUGGAUUUGAGUAAGAGCAUAGCUGUUGGGACCCGAAAGAUGGUGAACUAUGCUUGAAUAGGGUGAAGCCAGAGGAAACUCUGGUGGAGGCUCGCAGCGGUUCUGACGUGCAAAUCGAUCGUCAAAUUUGGGCAUAGGGGCGAAAGACUAAUCGAACUAUCUAGUAGCUGGUUCCUGCCGAAGUUUCCC